AACGAACGCUGGCGGCAUGCCUAACACAUGCAAGUCGAACGAGACCUUCGGGUCUAGUGGCGCACGGGUGCGUAACGCGUGGGAACCUGCCCUUAGGUUCGGAAUAACUCCCCGAAAGGGGUGCUAAUACCGGAUAAUGUCUUCGGACCAAAGAUUUAUCGCCUUUGGAUGGGCCCGCGUUGGAUUAGCUAGUUGGUAGGGUAAAAGCCUACCAAGGCGACGAUCCAUAGCUGGUCUGAGAGGAUGAUCAGCCACACUGGGACUGAGACACGGCCCAGACUCCUACGGGAGGAAGCAGUGGGAAUAAUUGGACAUUGGGCGAAGGCCUGACCCAGCAUUGCCGCGUGAGUGAUGAAGGCCUUGGGGUUGUAAAGCUCUUUUACCCGGGAUGAUAAUGACAGGACCGGGAGAAUAAGCUCCGGCUACUCCGUG
This 432-nucleotide ribosomal RNA is filed under the name uncultured bacterium. RNAcentral's name for it is "partial 16S ribosomal RNA". It matches the Rfam family "Bacterial small subunit ribosomal RNA", at positions 29 to 507 of the family's 1533-position model. The record is from RNAcentral.